AUUACUGCGUUGAGCCCGCCUCUCCGACGCUUUUUCAUUCGAUAGUUGCCUUUCAUGGGCGGAGAACACCACCUUAAUUUGACAGAGUAUUGGCCUGAGGUGAUGCCAGUAUUCGUCACAGUUCCCCAGGCUGGCCAGGAUGCGGAGGCAGGGCGAAUGGGCAGGGCAGGGGGGCUCCUCUAGUGCAAAGUGAGCUCAACUUCUGUGAGGUGGUGAUGUGCAUUAUAUGUUAACCUCCACCUAAACUUUAGCAUUUCACUUUCAUUGUCUUGGAUGGAGAUAAAUUAAACUGAGCCUUCAGAUUUGAGUGAAGGCUGAUCCCUGCGGCUGCGACCCUUUUAAUUUCCCUCUGAAAGAGGACUUGGAAGCUGCGGCUAACCUGUUUUUGGGGAAGCCACAUUGGGCCGGUGUCGUGGGAGAUUCCUCAGCGCUGGAUGAAGACCUGUCCUGCACCCAAUCAAUGACAAUCCUUAAUAGGCCAACUGUACGUCGCUUGCUUAUCUGGUAUGUAGACCUAUACGCACCAUGAAUGCAGCUUUAGCAUAUGGACAACUGCUGUUAUAGGUCGGUCUUAUUUAUAGACACUACCCCGAUGUUGCCUUGGCCAUCCCAUAAUGCCCUCUACUGUCAACACGUCAGGUGCUUUAUUCGUUUGGUAGCAUUUUAUCAGUGGCCUAUUGUAUUGUCAUCAUAACUUAUUUUUAUCUCAAUGUACAGUUUGUUUUUAAAAUCAUAACUAACCUUUGUGUUUCGUUGCAGUCUUAUUGUCUCUGGUGUAAAUCCUUCUUAUAAAAGUGACCUGUUUUCCAUCAAUCAUAAUAUUUGACAUGCCAAUACUCCACCCUCAUCAGCCAUAAACAUUCAGAAUAUUAUUAUCAAACACAAACAUACACACACACCCUAAACUUAAUACGAUCACAACAUUAAUAUGAAUGUUUGUGAGCGUUAUUAACACGCUUUUUAGGCAACUCAUUUAUGUGGACUUUCAGAACGCCAGAAACUGGUUUUGAUUGAUGUUCCAUUGAAUGGAGUCAUAACUGGUAUGUUGUACAUAACCUACCAGAGAGCUGAGGGCUGUCCUCAGUGAAAUAAUUGAUUGUGUGGGAUUGGGUGUAAUAACAUUUAACACCCUUUGUGUUAGCUAUGCCAUUGAGCCAUUAAUAUUUCAUCUCUUUCUUGCUAAAACUACAGUUUUUCUAACUGGUUUCGUCAGUUGAUUUCUCUUGUAUACUAGUAUAAUGUCACAUGACCAGAUAUGGGGGCUCCUAUUGGUAUAGCAGCACUCAUGUUAAGGCAUCAGGAAAGUCAGACAUAGGCUGAUAGGUUGUCCAGGCUGUCAGAGAUUUGUGGCUUAUCCAACGUCAUGCCAAGCCACACACGUCUGGCUGUGAUCUGCCUAGUCCAUUUACACUACCAAAUCUGCCCAUUAAACCUGUAAGUCUGACUGUCUGCCUUCAAGGCACCACUAAAUAAAUACAAUUGACUUUGUCUAAGCUAUUUAUUAUUUUCGUUUUUUUAAGCCAUGGGUCACGUAACAGAAUGAAAUGGCCAUCAAGUGGAGGAAGGCAUUUCAGAGUGUAAGACAGGAGCCAAGUGUCUGGUCUAAGAUUAUUUAUACAACUGCUGUGUGCGUGUUUGUGUCUGUGUGAGUUUGUGUGAGAGAGCUAGAGUGCGAUAGUACACGUCUGUCAGCUGGUCUGUUUGUUUACCCAAACAGGCCGAGGGUGACAGGGAAAUGUUUAGCAGAGGAAGUUCAGAGUUGCGUGAUUGUGUUUAAAAACAGCCAGUGUUUAGAUAUCCUAUUUCAGCAGACAACAUAUUUGCUGUUCCUAGAAAAAUAAAAGCAGAAGAAAGUUAUUAUCAUCUUGAGGAAAGGAUAAAUCUUCUGGGGCAUAAUGUGCUUUGUGCAAGAAUGCUUAACAGCCAACGCCCCUGUGUAAAAUACAUGUCAUUUUAAUAACUUAAGGUGAUGUAGGUUAGCGUCAACAUCUACUAUUUCAGGGUUAAUUGUUGGAAAUGGCAAAGCCAUCCGUCAGCUUUAAGUGAGAGAAAUGGUCUAUGAGAAUAUUUCGUUUUAGCUUGCCUCUGUUAGAGCCCAUUUAGACCGCCCCCGGCUCAUUUCUGACCAAUCAGGGUAUUGCUUUCAUGAUUGGAUCCCGGAAUCCAUCUGGCCUGUCAAUCACAGGUUCGUGAAUGUAAAACAGGGAUCAGAAAAUGUUGGGGUUGUUUAGUUUCUAAAUCAUGCUUUCAUCCGCUCGUUUCAGCUUUCUCUCCUAGCACCUUUAAGCCAAAGUACUACUUUAAAGUCGAAGUGUGUAGGAUGUGGUGGCCUCUAGUGAUGAGGUAGCAGAUUGCAACCAACUCAAUACCCCCUCUCCCCUCCCUUUCCAACGAUGUAGGAGAGGUGAUGGUGGCCUGGAGAGGCGAUGGUGUAGGGGCUACUAUUGUCCAAGGGGCCAGUUGGUACAUUGUUUACUAUAGCAUAAGGAGCCAUGUGUCAAGUGAUGAUGUUCCUUGAUAGAUUGCUAAAUUGUCUAUAGUUAUUUAGUCUGUCAAACUAUAGGUCAUAGCUUACAAGAAAGAUUUUGAUUAUGAUUGUGAAGCGUAAAAUUAAUUCCUUGAUUGCCCUAGGCCUCAUUGUUAUGACAAAAUGUUCAUAGGUGCGUGUCUUAAGGCAUAGAUAGUAUAGUAGUUCUGAUCCAGCAGUCCGACUGUGUUAUAGCAGAACUUCUGAUCCAGCACAGUCCUACUAUGUUAUAGCAGAACUUCUGAUCCAGCAGUCCUAUACUAUGUUAUAGUAGUCCUUCUCAUAUAGCAGAACUUCUGGGGGGAGACGCAUCAUCAAUCAUUUCACACACUAAUAGCUACGGACAGCUAUGACAUUUCUAUAACCAGUCACUCAUAAAUAGCUCUGAAAUCAUACCUACAGCACCUUUGAGGAAAAGAUAAGUGUAGAAGAUAAGACAAGGCAUGAAGAUAAUCUCUAAUAGGGCAGAUGUAGAGAAGACGAUACAUAAUGAUGCAGAUACUGUGAUAAAAUAAGUCCUGCAUCUCAGGCACUUCCAUCUGUUGAAAGUGUUUUGUUCCCUGAGGUUCCUCUUGGUUCCUGAGGAACGCUUUGGCUGAGCCCGCGGCAAAGCAGAUAGAGAACUGCAAGAAGGGACUUUCCAGCGAAGAAUCACAGCGAGGAAUGCAGGUCUUAAAGUCCCGUACAACAAACCCUCGGAUAUAGGGAAAAGUGGGGCUUUACGAAUAUACCGUAUAGGACUUCUCUGACAACGCACUCUCUUGGUCUGCUUGUUCUCCGCCCCUCUGGUGCGGUCAGCCAGUGGGCGAAGCCGAGAUGGUCAGCUGACAUGGUGCAACUGUGCAGGUGUUGUCUAUGUUUUAUACGGUGUUCAUACGUUUUUAUAAGGUGUUUCUUUAUAGGUCCAUGGGUGUUCCACAUCAGCCAUUUGGUCAGAAAAUGACGUGUUUUCAGAUUAUUCAUGUUUAUCGAUCACCUUCACGCUGAUUUAACGGGUGUUUUCUCCCUCCUGGCUACGUAGUGUGAGAGUGUUGUGACCAAUGACCUCACAUAAGCCAGGCCACUCCCUUUACCUUGUAAAACAUGCAGACCACACCUGCACAGGUACAGUGGCUAUCGAUGAACUCAAGUACUAACACACAAAACAACUCAGUAUUUACAAGACUGAGUUUAUUAGAUGACUUUGGGAUGUAAAUUGUUACAUUUUCCUGACCAAAUAUCGGGUAGGUCUGUAGUGGAUACAUCCCUCUGUGAUAGUGAUGAUUAUUUUAAUUAUUUCGUUUUUAUAUCCUGAGGAUGUGUCCGUCUAGCGCCCCCUGCAGUCACAACCGCGUAACAAUAAUCAAUAAAAAAAUACAAACUUUAUCAGGAACACAAUGACGUUUUUUUUUUUAUUAUACUUAAAUACACAGAUAAAGUAAUAAUUGCUGUAGGUUAAAGUUGUCCUAAAUUAUUUGAACAUUUCAUACAUGUAUUUUUCAGUGUGCACUGUAGCAAAUUACUGUAUAUAUAUAUUUGUAUCAUGUAUAUAUAAUUGCAUACAUAUAUAUAUAUAUAUAUAAUAUACAGUAUGUUUACGAUGGUAGUAAAGGUAACAAGGUCAUCGUACAACAGUAAGACGGUAAGGGGUUUAAAUGAGUCGAUGGAGCAUUGAACGUGAAGAUCUGGGGGUCCAUGGCUUAUCUCCAUGACUGCUCCCUGGAUACCAGGACUGCAACACACACACAGAUAAGUGGACAUGAUGAAGAUGGUGGUGGUGGUGGUGGGGAUCGCUUGUCAGGUUAGACACUUUGGGUUACUGACGCAGCACGGGAGCUGGUCUAGGAAGUACACCGUGGAGGACUGUACCCGGUACAGUGUCUACAAUGUGAUUUGUCAAUUGAUCGUGUGUGAAUUUGUGUGUUAGAACAUUAUUAACAAUUACAGCUGAAUACAGCUAUUAACAGCUGAAAUGAUGAUACGAAUGAUCCCACAGAAAAGAAACAACAAAGCCAACACGGACACACACACACAAACUUUGAUCUGUCAUUAGUAUAGAGGAUAAAAAUGGUGCAAGAAUGGAUAAUAAAGUCUACGAAUGAUAGUAAGCGCACACAAUUGACAAUGUGCAUGGCCACAUGGGUUCAUCAUUAGAAUUCAACGAUGAGUGAUGUUUCAAAUUGAAUUUAAAAGCCUAUGACAGGUCAAAGAUGUGGUGUGAGUGCGCAUCAUACAAUAUACUGGAUCAAUAUACUGGAUCCAUAUCAGAGGGAAUUUACCUGUUUGAUAUUGAAGCCUAAGUCAGUCAUUGAAAUGCAUGUUGUGAUAUCAGGAUGUAUGUCCAUAUAAGGAUGCAUGUCUGUAUAUAUCAGACCAACUGUGCAUUUAAAAAAAUAAAAUACAUUCCCUUGAAUAUAGACAUGCCUCAUAUUUUCAUGUCUUGUUUAUGUCCAUGAUAUUUCACACAUUUUUCACGUGGCCUUUUUUCAAUCAGACACGAGUUUGCGUUUCAAUGACAAGAAUUGACACAGUAUAAUAGUAAUGGUCCAGUGUAAUAUCAAACGAUCAUCAUGAUAUCAAAGAAUUGCCAAAAGCAACAGCCAGGAGAACAGAAAAAGAACCAAACAAGGUGAAGGAAAAGCAGUCAGCGCACCACGGCCGCCUCAGAACACAGCCAGCGCAGCCCCUUUUAAAGACGCAGCGCCGCAGAGAUAGAGCAGUGACUACCAGGGCCACAGAGAGAGAGCAGUCACUACCAUAGACCGGUCCCUUCCAGGGGCCAGACAGGAGCUGGGAGCGGUUUCUGAUGGUUCAGAACUGGGAGCAUGGGUAAUGGCUCAGGGUUCUGAAGAGGGCCAUGGUGUCACAAAGGAACAGUGUCAUUCAGUUUGCAACGCCCAUUGGGAAAACUGGGCUUUGGUUGCUCUUUGGAAUUGUAACAGGGACAUAGAAUAAUAAUAAACUACAAACAAUAUCCAUACUUCAAAAGGUAAACUGAAAAACAAUUGGUCCCAUUCCUCUUUGCGUCACAGUAUCAAAAUGUCGGAAUGGCUAACAGUCUUUCUCCAGUGCUAACUAUUACUGUGUUAGUCUCUCUCCAGUGCUAUUACUCUUUGUUUAGGUCUCUCUCCAGUGCUAUUAUUCAGUCUUACAGUCUCUCUCCAUUGCCAACUAUUACUGUGUUACAGUCUCUCCCCAGUGCUAACUAUUACUCUGCGUUACAGUCUCGCUCCAGUGCUAACUGUUGCUGUGUUACAUUCUCUCUCCAGUGCUAAUUAUUACUCUGGGGUACAGUCUCUCUCCAGAGCUAUUACUCUGUGUUUAGGUCUCCCUCCAGUGCUAUUAAUCUGUGUUUAGGUUUCUCCAAGAGCUAACUAUUACUAUGUGUUACAGUCUCUCUCCAGUGCCAAGUAUAACCUAACGUGUUACAUGGGGUUCAUACAGUUAAGACCAGCCCUUACAUUAUAUUGUGGAAGGUAUUUUAGCUCUGCAUCCAUGGGUGGAAUGAGAGGGUCAAGUGCAUGGAGGGAAUGUAGAAAUUAAUUUGGCUUGGUUUAGUAUGGUACAAUUUCAGUGGGGGGGUGUCACUCCAUUGAUGUAGAAACACAAAAAUGGGUUAGACAUUUAUGUUUACCCAAUCAUCAUCCACCUCAGAUUUAAACAAGCCAAUCAUGAGCCGGUCGCUACUCGCUACCUACUUACCAGUUACUGUCCUACUUGGAGGAAGAGUGUGUGUGUGUGUGUGUGUGUGUGUGUGUGUGUGUGUGUGUGUGUGUGUGUGUGUGUGUGUGUGUGUGUGUGUGUGUGUGUGUGUGUGUGUGUGUGUGUGUGU
Molecule: long non-coding RNA, 6338 nt
Organism: Gadus macrocephalus (Pacific cod)
Lineage: Eukaryota; Metazoa; Chordata; Actinopteri; Gadiformes; Gadidae
Exons: 3
Source: RefSeq, a predicted model, not a curated record